RNAcentral lists this ribosomal RNA (500 nucleotides) under uncultured bacterium. RNAcentral describes it as "partial 16S ribosomal RNA". It matches the Rfam family "Bacterial small subunit ribosomal RNA", at positions 28 to 507 of the family's 1533-position model. The record is from RNAcentral.
GACGAACGCUGGCGGCGUGCCUAAUACAUGCAAGUCGAGCGGACUGAUUAAGAGCUUGCUCUUAUGACGUUAGCGGCGGACGGGUGAGUAACACGUGGGCAACCUGCCCUGUAGAUCGGGAUAACACCGAGAAAUAGGUGCUAAUACCGGGUAAUAUCUGAGAUCACAUGAUCUUAGGGUAAAAGAUGGCUCCGGCUAUCACUACAGGAUGGGAACGCGGCGCAUUAGCUAGUGGGUAAGGUAAUGGCUUACCAAGGCGACGAUGCGUAGCCGACCUGAGAGGGCGAUCGGCCACACCUGGACUGAGACACGGCCCAGACUCCCUCGGAAUGAAGCAGUGGGCAAUCUUCCGCAAUGGGCGGAAGUCUGACGGAGUAACGCCGCGUCAGUGAUGAAGUGUUUCAGCUCGUAGAGCUCUGUUGUGACGGAAGAAUCAGUACCGAACGAUCUACGUCGGUACCUUGACGGUACCUAACCAGAAAGCUACGGCUAACUACGUG